UACGUAGGUGGCAAGCGUUGUCCGGAUUUACUGGGCUUAAAGGGUGCGUAGGCGGGCUGCCAAGUUUGGGGUGAAAUCCUCCGGCUCAACCGGGGAAGUGCCUCGAAUACUGGCGGUCUGGAGGGAGGUAGGGGCGUGCGGAACUAACGGUGGAGCGGUGAAAUGCGUUGAUAUCGUUAGGAACUCCGGUGGCGAAGGCGGCACGCUAGACCUCUUCUGACGCUGAGGCACGAAAGCCAGGGGAGCGAACGGG
RNAcentral lists this ribosomal RNA (253 nucleotides) under uncultured bacterium. RNAcentral describes it as "partial 16S ribosomal RNA". It matches the Rfam family "Bacterial small subunit ribosomal RNA", at positions 524 to 776 of the family's 1533-position model. The record is from RNAcentral.